RNAcentral lists this ribosomal RNA (274 nucleotides) under uncultured bacterium. RNAcentral describes it as "partial 16S ribosomal RNA". It matches the Rfam family "Bacterial small subunit ribosomal RNA", at positions 523 to 796 of the family's 1533-position model. The record is from RNAcentral.
AUACGGAGGGUGCAAGCGUUACUCGGAAUUACUGGGCGUAAAGGACGCGUAGGCGGUUUAGAAAGUCAGAUGAGAAAGCCUAUGGCUUAACCAUAGAACUGCAUCUGAAACUCCUAGACUAGAGUGAGGGAGAGGUCAGUGGAAUUAGUGGUGUAGGGGUAAAAUCCGUAGAGAUCACUAGGAAUACUCAUAGCGAAGGCGACUGACUGGAACUUUACUGACGCUGAGGCGUGAAAGCGUGGGGAGCAAACAGGAUUAGAAACCCCGGUAGUCC